UCUAGAACUCGAGAUAUGGACUAAACACUGAAUAAUAUCUGGGCUGCAGGACAUAUUCAGACUUCUCUUUUGUUGCUAAGAUGUGAACUUCAAAACGACAGAAUUGAGUCUUGGACUCUUCAUGAAUGUUUUAGGCCUAUGUCUUAUCUUUCUAUC
This is a non-coding RNA of Populus trichocarpa (black cottonwood), 156 nucleotides long. The record is from Rfam. NCBI's taxonomy places the organism in Eukaryota, Viridiplantae, Streptophyta, Magnoliopsida, Malpighiales, Salicaceae.